UGCAAGCUCAGAAGGAGGCUCCUCCACUCAUGCAAUGUAAAGACAAGUUUCUCCUUCAGAGUGUAUGUAACUGUAGGCUCAGGAGCAACCACAAAGGAUUAUGUUAAUAACCAUUUCAGGUCCUUAGGAGGAUGCUUCCAGCGUACUUUCAGCAUAUGAAAUCCUACAAAAUAAGGGGGAGUGUGCAUGAAAAGAUAAUGGAUAUGCUCCCUGGCGCAAAAAUGCACCUUUCACAUGGGCUAUAAAAUGGAGAGUUUGCUGAGUGUUGUGGAGAUCAAUGCUAUGGAUAAUAAUGUAUUUGAUACCAAGGAAAAAAAUAUGGACCAGAUUUCCUCCGGAAGGAUCGAAACAUACUCCACCUCGUCAGUCGUGUGAUUUUAAAUUUAAAGUCUAUUGUCCAUCGGUUUUCAGGACACUUAGGAAUUUGUUUAACGUGGAUCCAGUGGAUUACAUGUUAUCAAUUUGCAGGAAUGAGGCUCUCCGGGAGCUCUCAUCUCCUGGAAAAAGCGGCUGUUUCUAUUACAUGACAUCCGAUAACAAGUAUAUGAUAAAGACAAUGAAAAAGGCAGAAGUUAAAGUGAG
Molecule: long non-coding RNA, 582 nt
Organism: Helianthus annuus (common sunflower)
Lineage: Eukaryota; Viridiplantae; Streptophyta; Magnoliopsida; Asterales; Asteraceae
Exons: 3
Source: RefSeq, a predicted model, not a curated record